This 490-nucleotide ribosomal RNA is filed under the name uncultured bacterium. RNAcentral's name for it is "partial 16S ribosomal RNA". It matches the Rfam family "Bacterial small subunit ribosomal RNA", at positions 30 to 507 of the family's 1533-position model. The record is from RNAcentral.
AUUGAACGCUGGCGGCAGGCCUAACACAUGCAAGUCGAACGGUAACAGGAAGCAGCUUGCUGCUUCGCUGACGAGUGGCGGACGGGUGAGUAAUGUCUGGGAAGCUGCCUGAUGGAGGGGGAUAACUACUGGAAACGGUAGCUAAUACCGCAUAAUGUCGCAAGACCAAAGAGGGGGACCUUCGGGCCCCUUGCCAUCGGAUGUGCCCAGAUGGGAUUAGCUUGUUGGUGGGGUAACGGCUCACCAAGGCGACGAUCCCUAGCUGGUCUGAGAGGAUGACCAGCCACACUGGAACUGAGACACGGUCCAGACUCCUACGGGAGGCAGCAGUGGGGAAUAUUGCACAAUGGGCGCAAGCCUGAUGCAGCCAUGCCGCGUGUAUGAAGAAGGCCUUCGGGUUGUAAAGUACUUUCAGCGGGGAGGAAGGGAGUAAAGUUAAUACCUUUGCUCAUUGACGUUACCCGCAGAAGAAGCACCGGCUAAUUCCGUG